UACGAAGGUGGCAAGCGUUACUCGGAAUUACUAGGCGUAAAGCGCAGGUAGGUGGUUGGAUAAGUCCGUAAUGAAAUCUCCCGGCUUAACUGGGAGGGGUUUAGGGAUACUGUCCGGCUUGAGUGUGGGAGAGGUAACUGGAAUUCCUGGUGUAGCGGUGAAAUGCGUAGAUAUCAGGAGGAACACCAACGGCGAAAGCAGGUUACUGGCCCAAUACUGACAUUGAGCUGCGAAAGCUAGGGGAGCAAACAGG
Molecule: ribosomal RNA, 253 nt
Filed under: uncultured bacterium
Lineage: Bacteria
Description: partial 16S ribosomal RNA
Rfam family: Bacterial small subunit ribosomal RNA
Source: RNAcentral